AUGAAGUAAUGGUUUUAAUUUUGUUUUGUUUUCUUUGCUUAAAUAAACAGGAGGAUCAGCACUGGAACAUUAAAUGCCAUGUAGAAGUGGUGCUGUUGAGCCUUUGGCUGAAGUUUCAUGAUCAGAAGUGAUAUGUCAGAGACUCUGGAUGAGACCAUUCCACUCAUUAAAGACAAGGUGCUGGAGAGGAACCACAUCUGUGCCAAAGUUGAUAAACUUGAGACAUCCUCUGCCAGCAGCUUACCCCUAUGACCUGCCAGAACUCCACUGAACUGAAGACUUUUUUCCUGUGGACUAUCCAGCAGCUGCCUGCAACACAGUGGGAGGAAGGAACACAACCAAGUUUUCUUAGAAAGGACUCAGCUUUUCCAGGACUCCCUGCCUGGAGCUACUGGGAUACAGAUCAAGCCACUGACAGCUCUAAGUGGUCGUUAACAAACUCUCACCUGAUUUACUGAGGUCAUUCUCCAUGAAAUAGUUUGGAAAACCUGCUCACAAAACAAGUUGAGGUUCAAGUUUUCUUUUAAAGCAGAGAAACACAAGGAGCUCUUUUGCUGAUGUAAAUGCCAAAGUGUUUUUCCUGUAUUGUUCUUGAAACAUCUUCUACCUCUGGAGUUCAGAACUGGGAGCCAGACAGUCCAACUUCCACUCCUCUGAGGUAAAAAAGCACAACAAGAGUUGUGUCCCUUCUGUGAGGGGGGAAAGAACAGGACACAUCUAAAUCAUCUCCACCUCCAGGUACCUGUUUUCAGUC
Manacus vitellinus (golden-collared manakin) is the source of this 754-nucleotide long non-coding RNA. RefSeq lists it as uncharacterized. The record is from RefSeq and is a predicted model, not a curated record. Lineage: Eukaryota; Metazoa; Chordata; Aves; Passeriformes; Pipridae. The transcript is spliced from 4 exons.